This 482-nucleotide ribosomal RNA is filed under the name uncultured bacterium. RNAcentral describes it as "bacterial SSU rRNA". It matches the Rfam family "Bacterial small subunit ribosomal RNA", at positions 29 to 524 of the family's 1533-position model. The record is from RNAcentral.
AGUGAACGCUGGCGGCAGGCCUAACACAUGCAAGUCGAACGGCAGCACAGCAGUAGCAAUACUGUGGGUGGCGAGUGGCGGACGGGUGAGGAAUACAUCGGAAUCUGCCUAGUCGUGGGGGAUAACGUAGGGAAACUUACGCUAAUACCGCAUACGACCUACGGGUGAAAGCGGGGGAUCGCAAGACCUCGCGCGAUUAGAUGAGCCGAUGUCCGAUUAGCUAGUUGGCGGGGUAAUGGCCCACCAAGGCGACGAUCGGUAGCUGGUCUGAGAGGAUGAUCAGCCACACUGGAACUGAGACACGGUCCAGACUCCUACGGGAGGCAGCAGUGGGGAAUAUUGGACAAUGGGGGCAACCCUGAUCCAGCAAUGCCGCGUGAGUGAUGAAGGCCUUAGGGUUGUAAAGCUCUUUUGCCAGGGAAGAUGAUGACUGUACCUGGAGAAUAAGCCCCGGCUAACUUCGUGCCAGCAGCCGCGGUAAU